UGCAUGUCAAAGAUAUGGGUCUAUAGC
Molecule: small RNA, 27 nt
Filed under: Bombyx mori (domestic silkworm)
Lineage: Eukaryota; Metazoa; Arthropoda; Insecta; Lepidoptera; Bombycidae
Description: ovarian small RNA-8523
Source: RNAcentral